GUCAAAACACAAAAUAAUUCCCUUUGGGAAUAUUUGGAUG
Molecule: non-coding RNA, 40 nt
Filed under: Desulforamulus reducens MI-1
Lineage: Bacteria; Bacillati; Bacillota; Clostridia; Eubacteriales; Peptococcaceae
Source: RNAcentral